This 88-nucleotide transfer RNA is filed under the name Methylacidimicrobium tartarophylax. RNAcentral describes it as "tRNA-Ser". It matches the Rfam family "tRNA". Rfam says of the family: Transfer RNA (tRNA) molecules are approximately 80 nucleotides in length. Their secondary structure includes four short double-helical elements and three loops (D, anti-codon, and T loops). Further hydrogen bonds mediate the characteristic L-shaped molecular structure. tRNAs have two regions of fundamental functional importance: the anti-codon, which is responsible for specific mRNA codon recognition, and the 3' end, to which the tRNAs corresponding amino acid is attached (by aminoacyl-tRNA synthetases). tRNAs cope with the degeneracy of the genetic code in two manners: having more than one tRNA (with a specific anti-codon) for a particular amino acid; and 'wobble' base-pairing, i.e. permitting non-standard base-pairing at the 3rd anti-codon position. Lineage: Bacteria; Pseudomonadati; Verrucomicrobiota. The record is from RNAcentral.
GGACAGGUGGCAGAGCGGUUGAUUGCGGCGGUCUUGAAAACCGCUAACCCGCAAGGGUUCGUGGGUUCGAAUCCCACCCUGUCCGCCA